UGACUCGCUUGCAAUAUUAAAACGCCCAUCAACAGGCACCUACACACGCUCGUUUUGUCAAUGGUCUCACACCCCUCUCCUCCCGCCCUCCCUACCUUUCCCUCACUCCUUCUCCUCCCCUUCCCCACACCACCAACAGGUGAAUGCGAGCAUGGGUAGCGUUCUCACCGCCCUCAUGUUCCUUCUGCUGUGGGGGACACGUGUGGACCUGCUCCGCCAGGCGCGGAGUUGGACCCAUCCCAGCAUCUACAUCGACAUCAUUCUGGGAGGGACCGAGUCUAGAGAUAAGAUCGGUGAUCUGACUCGAUUUGAAUCCCUCUCGAGCCAACAUCAGCUGCACAUUCGCACGCACACCUUGAACGAGACGAGUCCCAAGGGCUUGGUCAAGCAGCUCUGCGCCACGGUCGCUUCCAACAAGACCCACGGCAUGAUAUACGCUGACAACAGGAGCCAGGAGGCCACCGCCCAGAUCCUGGAUUUCGUUUCUUCACAAACACGCGUCCCUUUCAUCGGCAUCAAUGGUGGCGCGUCGGUGGUCAUGAGCGGAAAGACAAGUGGAUCAAUACACGUGGAUCAACUGCUUGGUCACCUCGUUCGCGUGACCUGUCCCCAUUGGACUACAUUUUAUGGUGCUAUGUUAUGUAAAACUGUUGUUUAUUCAUCAAAACCACAUUAUUUGUAUGAACUUCGUGCAUCGAUCACAAACGAAAUGAAUGAAAUUAUUCAGCAGCAACUGGAGAAUGUUUUCAACAUGUUGGAAAAUCAGAUUGAACAAAGUAUUAUGAAAGAUGGCGGUUAUGUUGAAGGCUAAAAAUUAGAACUGGAUUGAGUAAAAACUUUGUGAAUUAUUCUUUCUUGUCCCAUUUAUAGUUUGUUUCUAUCUUGUAAUACAUCCAAAGUUAUAAAAGUUCGAAGUUGCACAAAGACAUUUUAGACACCCUGUCGUUUUAUUCAGGAAGAAUACAAGUUGAACAAAAAAAAAGAAAGGCAUAAAAUGUCAUCGCCCU
Molecule: long non-coding RNA, 1007 nt
Organism: Eptatretus burgeri (inshore hagfish)
Lineage: Eukaryota; Metazoa; Chordata; Myxini; Myxiniformes; Myxinidae
Source: Ensembl